This 794-nucleotide ribosomal RNA is filed under the name uncultured bacterium. Its description in RNAcentral is "bacterial SSU rRNA". It matches the Rfam family "Bacterial small subunit ribosomal RNA", at positions 8 to 796 of the family's 1533-position model. The record is from RNAcentral.
AGAGUUUGAUCCUGGCUCAGAACGAACGCUGGCGGCGCGCCUAAUACAUGCAAGUCGAGCGAGAAGGUGUAGCAAUACACUUGUAAAGCGGCGAACGGGUGGGGAAUACAUGGGUGACCUACCCUCGAGUGGGGAAUAACUAGCCGAAAGGUUAGCUAAUACCGCAUACGAUUCCCGGAUUACGGUCCGGGAAGGAAAGCGAUACCGUGGGUAUCGCGCUCCUGGAUGGGCUCAUGUCCUAUCAGCUUGUUGGUGAGGUAACGGCUCACCAAGGCUUCGACGGGUAGCUGGUCUGAGAGGACGAUCAGCCACACUGGCACUGCGACACGGGCCAGACUCCUACGGGAGGCAGCAGUAAGGAAUAUUGCGCAAUGGGCGAAAGCCUGACGCAGCGACGCCGCGUGGGGGAUGAAGGUCUUCGGAUUGUAAACCCCUUUCGGGAGGGAAGAUGGAACGAGCAAUCGUUCGGACGGUACCUCCAGAAGCAGCCACGGCUAACUUCGUGCCAGCAGCCGCGGUAAUACGAAGGUGGCAAGCGUUGUUCGGAUUCACUGGGCGUACAGGGAGCGUAGGCGGUUGGGUAAGCCCUCCGUGAAAUCUCCGGGCCUAACCCGGAAAGUGCAGAGGGGACUGCUCGGCUUGAGGACGGGAGAGGAGCGCGGAAUUCCCGGUGUAGCGGUGAAAUGCGUAGAGAUCGGGAGGAAGGCCGGUGGCGAAGGCGGCGCUCUGGAACGUUUCUGACGCUGAGGCUCGAAAGCGUGGGGAGCAAACAGGAUUAGAUACCCUGGUAGUCC